RNAcentral lists this long non-coding RNA (3410 nucleotides) under Homo sapiens (human). RNAcentral's name for it is "HSALNT0329751". Lineage: Eukaryota; Metazoa; Chordata; Mammalia; Primates; Hominidae. The record is from RNAcentral.
CCUUAACACAGGACAGACAAGUUAUUGCCCUGGGCUCCUUCCUCCAAGCACUAUCUCAUGCUCCAAAAUCCCACACCCACACCCCCCAUGCCCAUGCCACACACAUGCACACAAAUAGAAACUUAAGUAGGAAUGUCCAGGUUAGACAUGUACCUUUUAUUCUGGCUAAGUACAGGAAGAUUGGCAAGAGACCUGGGAAGAGGGGGCUUCUAGAUGCCAUCCCAGAUCUAAACUUCUAAAGAAAAAAAAGAGGAAUCUAAACUUCUGUUUAGUUUCAAGUUGUAAGAGAGCUGCAUGCCUGCAUCCUUUUUUGGCUCUCUUUAGUUCGAGUCCUGGAGAAAGGAACCAAACAAAGUGACAUAUCAUGCUUAACAAGGAUGCCAUACUAUGAUUCAGUGUGAUAAAAAUGCAUUAAGGCACCAGUACUUAACAACCACAAAUGCAUGCACAGUACUUUGGUAACACCUAACAGGUUAUGUUGGAAGACAGACUUCUCCUCUUCUAGUUAUUUUGGAAGUAAACAAGAAGGCAGACUUCUCAUUUUCCUACUCACCCUAUGCUACACUUCCCAGUUCCUGGCCCAUGAAGUAAGGAAAUCAAAUGUGUGCAAAAUUAAAGAAUUCCAUGAUAACUAUGUUAUUUUCCAUUUGCAUGUGCAUUUGUCUAUCGAUCCCUAAAAUAUAUCUUAAAUUAGUCUGCUUUUCUCCACUUUUCCCCCUCCAUUUUAUUUUUAUUUAUUUAUUUAUUUUGAGACAAGGUCUAGCACUGUCGCCCAGGCUGGAGUGCAGUAACACAAUCAUGGCUCUCUGCAGCCUUGACCUUCCAGGCUUAAAUGAUCCUCCUGCCUUAGCCUCACGAGUAGCUGGGACUACAGGUGUGCACCACUAUGUCCGGCUAAUUUUUGUAUUUUUACUAGAGACGUGGUUUCCCCAUGUUGCCCAGGCUGGUCUCAAACUACUGGGCUCAAGCAAUUGGCCCACCUCAGUCUCCCAAAGCGUUGGAAUUACAGGCAUGAGCCACCGCACUCAGCUCCUGCUCCAUUAAAAAAAAUAAAACAAACAAACAAAAAAAAACGAAUGGCAGGUCUCGAUUGGAGGUGACUACCAGCAUGGAUUUUUUCUCUCUUUUCUCUUUCUUUCUUUCUUUCUUUUUCUUUCUUUCUUUCUUUCUCUUUCUCUCUCUCUCUCUUUCCUCCCUCCCUCCCUCUCUCUCUCUCUCUUUCUUUCUUUCUUUCUUUUUUUAGAUGGAGUCUCACUCUGUCACCCAGGCUGGAGUGCAGUGGCGUGAUCUCAGAUCACUGCAACCUCCGCCUGCUGGGUUCAAGCAAUUCUCCUGCCUCAGCCUCCCGAGUAGCUGGGACUACAGGUACCCGCCACCACGCCCAGCUAAUUUUUUGUAUUUUUAGUAGAGACGGGGUUUCACCAUGCUGCCCAGGCUCGUCUCAAACUCCUGACCUCGUGAUCCACCCGCCUUGGCCUCCCAAAGUGCUGGGAUUACAGGUGUGAGCCACCGAGCCCGGCCAUCUUUUUUGUUUGUUUGUUUGAUAUUUUUAGACAGGCUGGAGAGCACUGGUGUGAUUAUGGCUUACCGCAGCCUUGACCUCCUGGGCUCAAGCAAUCCUCCCGCCUCAGCUUCCAAAGUGGCUGGGAACAGAAGUGCAGGCCACUACACCUAGCUAAUUUUUAUACUUUUUGUGGAGACGUGGUUUUGCUAUGUUGCCCAGGCUGGUCUUGAACUCCUGGCCUCAAGUGAUCCUCCUGCUUUGGCCUCCCAAAGUGCUGGGAGUAUAGGCGUGAGCCACCACACCCAGUUGGAAUUUUUUGCUAUACACAGUGCUGCCUUUUUUUUUCUUUCUUUUUUUUCUUUCCUCCAUGACAGAGGCUUUGAAUGUGGAAAUGACCUCCUAAAGCUGUCACACUGGAAUCCUACUGUAAAAAUGAUUUGCUUUUUCCUAUAUGUCCUUGGUCAUUGCUAAAAAAUAUAACAAUUUAUUAUUUAUCUUUAUUUUUAAGAUUUUGGUUUGUUCUCCCAACACUGAUGCUAAAGGUGUUUUGAAAUACAGUGGGCACACAGUCUCAGAAGGAAUAUGUCCAAAACUUCAGAAAAAUACCAACAGUGAGAACUUGCAAAACAUCUUAGCCACUGACAGCUUAAACACAGUCUAUUAAUAAGGAAGUGUUGCCAGCCCUUUAAAGCUGACAUUUGUUACAACAUUUAUUUUUCGUAAUCUUUUUUUUUUUUUUUUUUGAGACGUAGUCUCGCUCUGUCGCCCUGGCUAGAGUGCAGUGGCGCGAUCUCGGCUCACUGCAAGCUCUGCCUCCCGGGUUCACGCCAUUCUCCUGCCUCAGCCUCCCGAAUAGCUGGGACUACAGGCGCCUCUGCCACCGCGCCCAGCUAAUUUUUUUUGUAUUUUUAGUAGAGACCGGGUUUCACCGUGUUAGCCAGGAUGGUCUCGAUCUCCUGACCUCGUGAUCCGCCCGCCUUGGCCUUCCAAAGUGCUGGGAUUACAGGCUUGAGCCACCGCGCCCGGCUUAUUUUUCGUAAUCUUAAUGUUUCUUUUAAUCACAAAAGUAGUUACAUAAAUGCUGUAGAAAAAUUUAAAAUACAGCUAAGCAAAAGAAGAAAAAUAAAAUAUUUCUACCAUCCAGAGAUUAUAGAUAAAAACACUUGAGUGGGUAUCCUUCUACAUGUUAUUCUAUACACAUUUAUUUAUUCAUUUUUUAAUCUAAAUGAGAACACAUGGCUGGGCACAAUGGCUCAUGCCUAUAAACCUAACACUUUGGGAGGGCGAAGCAGGAGGAUUGCUUGAGCCCAGGAGUUUGAGACCAGCCUGGGCAACAUAGCGGGACCCUAUCUUAUUAAAACAAACAAAAAAAACCAAAACCAAACCAAAACCAAAUGGGCGUACACUGUGCAUAUUGCUUUGUAACAUACUUUUUUUCAGCUAACAAUCUUUCUGUUUUCACAUUUUCUUACAUUAUACUUUCUUUUCUCUUUUUUUUUUUUUUUUUUUUUGAGACAGAGUCUCGCUCUGUCACCCAGGCUGGAGGGCAGUGGUGCGAUCUCGGCUCACUGCAAGCUCCGCCCCCUGGGUUCACGCCAUUCUCCUGCCUCAGCCUCCCGAGUAGCUGGGAAUACAGGCGCCGCCACUACGCCCGGCUAAUUGUUUGUAUAUUUAGUAGAGACGGGGUUUCACCGUGUUAGCCAGGAUGGUCUCGAUCUCCUGACCUCGUGAUCCACCCGCCUCGGCCUCCCAAAGUGCUGGGAUUAGAGGCGUGAGCCACCAAGACCGGCCGUGAUUGUGGUUUUUGCCAUUGUUUUUUAAUGACAAAAACCAUAAUUGCUUUUGCACCAGCCUAAUAGUUAUCCAAGUGAUUAGUUUAAGAUCAUCCCCUGGUUCUGGCCAUUUU